UCUACAUUAUAAACCCCCUGAGCCCAGAGAUUACACUGACAUCCUGACUACACCAGUGACUGUCACCUUGUAACCACAGGAUUUCCAUGUCCCCAGUAUUUCCAUACACAGUCUCUGGGGUCUCCUGUAACCUCCCCUGUCACUCUCUAUAUAUAUCUCAUUGUACAGACUGACACAUCUUAUACUUUGUAUCUGACUCCACAAACACCAAGAUGGUUUCUGGCCGUUCUCUGCUGGCUGUGAUCUUCAUUUCUAUUCAGGGAUCCUGUGGAGAGAUUGUGCUGACUCAGAGUCCAGAUUAUAUGUCGGUGUCCCCAGGAGAUACAGUCACCAUGUCAUGUAUAUCUAGUGAAUAUACAGGGAAUGCUAUAGCCUGGUACCAGCAGAAACCAGGACAAAAGCCAAAUCUUCUUAUCUAUGGUGCAGCCAGCAGAUAUACAGGAGUCCCAGACCGGUUCACUGGUGUUAGUGAUGGAUCUUCUUACACCAACUACAAGUUAACAAUCAGAGGAGUGACAGGAGAUGAUAUAGCAGAUUAUUACUGUCAGCAGUAUAGGAGUUUCCCUCUCACACAGUGA
This is a non-coding RNA of Hyla sarda, 578 nucleotides long. The record is from the annotation of a RefSeq genome assembly. Lineage: Eukaryota; Metazoa; Chordata; Amphibia; Anura; Hylidae.